RNAcentral lists this ribosomal RNA (460 nucleotides) under uncultured bacterium. RNAcentral describes it as "partial 16S ribosomal RNA". It matches the Rfam family "Bacterial small subunit ribosomal RNA", at positions 338 to 795 of the family's 1533-position model. The record is from RNAcentral.
CCUACGGGAGGCAGCAGUGAGGAAUAUUGGUCAAUGGACGAGAGUCUGAACCAGCCAAGUAGCGUGAAGGAUGACUGACCUCUGGGUUGUAAACUUCUUUUAUAUGGGAGUAAAAUGUUCCACGUGUGGGAUUUUGUAUGUACCAUAUGAAUACGGAUCGGCUAACUCCGUGCCAGCAGCCGCGGUAAUACGGAGGAUCCGAGCGUUAUCCGGAUUGAUUGGGUUUAAAGGGAGCGUAGGUGGAUUGUUAAGUCAGUUGUGAAAGUUUGCGGCUCAACCGUAAAAUUGCAGUUGAAACUGGCAGUCUUGAGUACAGGAGAGGCGGGCGGAAUUCGUGGUGUAGCGGUGAAAUGCUUAGAUAUCACGAAGAACUCCGAUUGCGAAGGCAGCUCACUGGACUGCAACUGACACUGAGGCUCGAAAGUGUGGGUAUCAAACAGGAUUAGAUACCCCUGUAGUC